GUCCCUGUAGCGCAUUGGAUAGCGCAGUGGACUUCUAAUUCAAAAUUCGUGGGUUCGAAUACCACCGGAGAUG
This is a non-coding RNA of Trichonephila clavipes, 73 nucleotides long. The record is from the annotation of a GenBank genome assembly. NCBI's taxonomy places the organism in Eukaryota, Metazoa, Arthropoda, Arachnida, Araneae, Nephilidae.